GACGAACGCUGGCGGCGUGCUUAACACAUGCAAGUCGAACGGAAAGACCCUGCUUUUGUGGGGUGCUCGAGUGGCGAACGGGUGAGUAACACGUGAGUAACCUGCCCUUGACUUUGGGAUAACUUCAGGAAACUGGGGCUAAUACCAGAUAGGAGCUCCUGCUGCAUGGUGGGGGUUGGAAAGUUUCGGCGGUUGGGGAUGGACUCGCGGCUUAUCAGCUUGUUGGUGGGGUAGUGGCUUACCAAGGCUUUGACGGGUAGCCGGCCUGAGAGGGUGACCGGCCACAUUGGGACUGAGAUACGGCCCAGACUCCUACGGGAGGCAGCAGUGGGGAAUAUUGCACAAUGGGCGGAAGCCUGAUGCAGCAACGCCGCGUGCGGGAUGACGGCCUUCGGGUUGUAAACCGCUUUCGCCUGUGACGAAGCGUGAGUGACGGUAAUGGGUAAAGAAGCACCGGCUAACUACGUG
This 468-nucleotide ribosomal RNA is filed under the name uncultured bacterium. RNAcentral describes it as "partial 16S ribosomal RNA". It matches the Rfam family "Bacterial small subunit ribosomal RNA", at positions 28 to 507 of the family's 1533-position model. The record is from RNAcentral.